AAGCUUGCUUGCCUCCCUCUGAAC
RNAcentral lists this non-coding RNA (24 nucleotides) under Arabidopsis thaliana (thale cress). The record is from RNAcentral. Lineage: Eukaryota; Viridiplantae; Streptophyta; Magnoliopsida; Brassicales; Brassicaceae.